UAUAUCACAUCUUGUUUUCUAACAGCAAUUAAUCCUUGAUCAAAAUGGCUUCUCUUCACUUCUAACAAAAAAGUGACCAGACGGACUACCAUCAUGUAGCAAUGCCAAAUUCACAAUUGAUUCAGCACCUUCAUCAGGUGUUAGAUAACCUGUAUUGUAAUUUAUAUCUGUUUUCACAAAGCCAGGACAAACAACAUUGAUGCAUAUUGAUGGAUACUUAAUAGCAACAACACUUGUAUAGGCAAUUAGAGAAGCUUUUGAGAUAAUGUAUGUAGACAUAUCAUUAUUAAUAGGCCAACCAUUGUUUUCUAGUGAACCCUCAUUAAAAUCGUUUAGAAAUUUAUUCAAAACUUCAUCAAUCUUUUCUUCUAUAAGGUUUUCAACAUCACUAAAUACUUCCUUAGGCCAUCCAUUUGGAAGAUUCUGCAAAUAAAAUUACAUGAAAAUGAGCAUCAUCUCCAAUAGCCUAAUAUAUCAAAAGGAAGAGUGAAUAUAUAAAUUGGUUCUCGAAAUUAUGAGCACCUAUCAAAAUAGUCUUCGAAUAUUACAAAUUGGUCAAAUGGAUCCUUCGUUAACUUUGUCUUAUUAGAGGUUAUGAUGUACUCCCUCUUGUAAAAUCUAUAAGCAACUAUUCUUUUUUCAGAUUCAUUAAACAACUUAUAUAUCAUACAUCAGUUGCUUAAUGAAUCUGAAAAAGAAAUAGUGGCUUAUAAAUGUUACUGGAGUGAGUAACAUGUUAAAUUAACACGUGGCCUUGUACAUAGAUGCCACAUAAAGGUCAUGUCACCAAAAACUUCUAUGACACGUUAAAUUCAUGUAUAUUUUUUUUCUUCAAAUUCAUUAAACAACUAUCAUUUAACAACUGAUGUAUGAUAGUUGUUUAAUGAACUUGAAAAAAGAAAUAAUAGCUUAUAAAUAUUAUUGGAGGGAGUAACAUGUUAAAUUAACACGCGACCUUGUACGCAGUUGCAACAUAAAGGUCAUGUCACCAAAAACUUCUACGCCAAAUUAAUUUCCAUCUUAUACUUCAUAUUUUAUUGCCACGUGAGCUCUAUGUAAGAGGCCAUGUUCAUUUAACGUAUCACGCGAUAGGAUUAGGGUCUGACAAUAGAUAGAAUUUAGUAGAGGGACAUUUUGACUGAUGUGUUACAUUUGUAGUUUCUAGAAAUGUAUUUGUCAAUACUUAAAAGUCAAAUAUAUUUUGAUUAAUGCUCACAAUUUGAAGAUUAAUUUGCCUAAUUAUUCUCAAAGUCAAACAACAUAUAUACUUCAGAUCAAAUCAAUGAAACAUUUAUCUCAGAAAAUUUUCAUUAGUUUAAGUUUCCAAAUUAGCUUCCAAAGUAGUGCCACAUACCUCCAACUUUCCCAUGGAUGAGGAAACAUUGACAACUUUUGGUGAGCUUGAAAGCUGGAGAAGGGGAAUAAAUGCUUCAGUUAAGUCCUUGGCUCCAUAAUAGUUUGUUUUAAUACCUAAUUCAGUUUGUUCAUAUGUUUGAGUUAUUAUUUUACUCCAAUCAAUCUGGCCACCAUUUUCCUGCAACCAGAAACAAGAAAACUUUAUUUCUUAAAAUCGAAUUGAUGAAGGAAGACACAAAUUUCAAGGCUUGGCUAGAAAUUGUUAAAAAAUAUAUUGAAUACAAAUAAUUUUAGGGAAUGCUAACUUUAACACAAAUAAUUUUAGGGAAUGCUAACUUUUAACACCCUAAUUCCCACAUUUUAUUUUUAUAAUAAAAAUACAUUUACAAUAAAGAAACACAUAAGGGUGUCACACGUCUUCUAUAAAAAAACUUCAAAAGUACUUCAUUCAAAUUAAAAACAUAACAAUGGAAUAGUUUUCAAAAACUUUAAAGUACAUGUUGCAUCACAAUUUCAACACCAAAACUAAAUUCAAAAGAAUUCUAAAAUAGAGUCUAAAAUGAAAAGAAUCCUCAAUCCCUAGUGUCACUGAUCAGAGCUUUGACUCAAUAAAUACUCCUAAAAGCGAUAAACAAAAAAGAGAAAGCUCCAAUGCCAUCCUCCGAAACUCGGUGCUACUUACUUUUGACCACAUCAAGUAUCUUAUUCUCAAUAAUCAUAUCACAUAAAUACAAAUACAAAGCUACUACCACAUUUAUCACGGUUAAGAAUAUUACUAGUAAUUAACAUAUAAAAAGUACUUUGCUCAAAAAAAAAAACAUAUAAAAAGUACUGAUGUCUUCUUAAUUGGUUUCCACCACAAGAAUCUCACAAUUCAAAACAUGUAAAAAAGAAUAUAAAAAUCGUUUGAUAUAAAAAAAAUAUAAUUCAAAUAAAUCGAUUUUCAGGAACAUAUUUGUUACUAGUCAAAACAACUGGUUUAUAGCAUUCACAAAACAAACUUAAUUAAUUCAAAAUGUAUUGUUUGAUUACAGUGAUCCAAAAUCAAAUUAGCAUGAAUACAUAAGUUUUAUAUUAUUAAUCAUCGAUUUCAUAUAGAUUUCAGGCAAAUAUUUAUUAUCCGAAGGCAAUCACGUCGUGUUUAGUAACAAAAUAAACCUAAUUCAAUUUUGAUAUAGCACCGUAAAAAAUAAUAAUAAUAAUUACAGCAACAUGAAAAGCAUCCUUUUAGCACCGUAACCCUUCGUUACUAGUUUUAAUCUUUUCUGAUAGUUUCUCUCAAAAAAAACGUUAACUUAUUUACCAAUUUAGUCCUUUAUGUUUUGCUCUGUUCCUAAUUUUAGUCCUUUCUAUUCACGUUUUUUUGAGAGAAACUAACAUAAAGGACUAAAACUAGUGACAAAUCAAAACAUAGAGGACCAAAUUGAUACAAAUUAUAGUUAAGGAACCAAAUUGAGACAAUCAAUUAAGUUAAGGACCAGGUGAUUGAAUAAGCCUAAAAUUAAUAAAAUACGACCAAAUCGAAAACGAAAAUAAAGAUAAGGACCAAAUUAAAAGGUUUAAUAAUGAAGGGACCGACGGAUAUAUCAAGCUUAUUAACAAAAGUACAUCUAUUAAGUAAAACUGCCUCAGCUUUUGGAGAAAAGUAAUCAUACUUCAAUAUUAGCAGCAACAAGAGCCUCACCGUCCACUUCUGCUCCAGUAAUUCCAGCAUUAUUUACCUAAACAAAGUGUGUUUCAAAUAUUUGUAGUCAUCAAUCAAUAACCUAUAAUUUUUCAUUUGUAAAAAAUUUCAUGUGACUUGUAUCAAUGAUUUAUGAGACUCAUGGAUAUAGCUCAUCUUAAAUUAUCAACAAAGUCAAUUUUAAUUGAGAAUCUCCAAUUAAUUAGUUCAUUCUUAUAGUCAAACUCAAUUAUGAUCGAGAACCUCCUAACAUAUCAAAAUCAAUUUGAAGUCUUCAUAAUCACUUUUGAUUCUCUCAAAAUUGGAUCUAAACAUGCACUUCACUUUUUAAGUAUAUGUUUGGUUUUGCAUUGACAAAAACUGACUCUAAAUUUGAUUCUAGUUAGAUGUGAGUUGAUUGUAAAAUAAUUUAUGUUUAGAUACAUUAUGAUUAUGUAAAAGUGAGUUAAACAAUAAUUUCAAACCUAAGAUUUAUUGUAGAGUCAAAAGAUGCAAAUUCUAGUUUGAAGUUAAAAUCAAUUCAUAAGACAAUAAAUUAUUUAUACUCGAAUAGAUCCAAACAUGUCAAAAGCAAAGAUAAAUUUGAACUUACCAAGAUAUCUAGUUUUCCAAAUUGAUUCUUGAUAAAAUCUACAAAUGAUCUUAUACUCGCAGCAUCUAUGACAUCAAGUUGAUGAAAAACAACAAGACCAGGCAGAGAAAGAUGUUUCAGCUUCUCAACAGCUUCAAGACCUCUCUUUUCAUCUCUUGCAGUAAGCACCACAGUGAUCCCUUUAGAAGCCAAUUGAUUGCAUACUGCAAAUCCUAUUCCUUUGUUUGCUCCUGUAACAACUGCAUACCUAGAAACAAAAUUAACAAGGUGGUAUUAUGAGUCAUUGUCACUAAGCUUGUGGUUGAUCGUAUAUAUAUGUAAGGUAUAUUGAAGGAAAAAAAGGGUAAGGAAAAUUAGAUUAUACGUUGUUGUUGCCUCUGCCAUUGAUAUGGUAAGAGUGAGGUGCUAGCAAAUAUGAGUUGACCAAAAUGAAGAUUAUAAAUUAAUAUUGGUUUGUGGUACGUUAUGUUUAUAAUUUUGUAUCAAUUCCUUCAAAAAAAUAAAAAAUAAUUUUGUAUCAAUUGUCUUUAAAUAUUGGUUCCAACAACUAUGUUACCGGCCAAAGAAAUAAUUUUUUAUUUAUGAUAAAAAGAGUAAGUGAAUUGAAGCCGGACCUCAAAGUUAAAGAAUGUUUAUAGAGUUACACAUACAAAUCAACUAUCAAAAGAGAUGAGAGUGUUAACUUCUUAUCAACCGAGUCAAAAAUAUUUGACAUAAUUUUCUUUUUUGGUUUUUCGCAAUACAUGAAUUAUAUAAGCAUUGGUAUAUGUGUGCCCAAUGAUGAUGGAGUUUUUGUUCUAUCCAAAACCAUGAAUUUCUCUCUUUGGGUUAUGUUCCUGUUGGAGAAGCUUUAGGUUUGUACAAUGUCGACUUUGUGAUGGAUUUUAAAACAAUCAAUGACGUUGUUCACUUCAAUAGAUCUUAUAUUUUAGAAUUUGGUCAUAUCCUAUCAGGGUUCUAGAGACCCUUUCAUUCACAGUUCGCAAACUCUCGGUUGGAGUUCAACAGGCGAUAAACAAAUGCAGUAGCUCAUGUUUUAGUUGGAGAAGCCGUGUUAUCAACUAGUCUCACUAUUUAUUUUCAUAUCCCGCAUUGUACUACUGAUAUUAUUAUUAAUAAAAUGCUAUAAACAUCUCUUCUUUCAAUAAAAAAAAUAGGGAGUAAAUUUUUUCCCUUGUGGUAAUAUAUUUCAUUUUGCCUUGUUAAAAAAAAAAAAGUAUUUUAGUGCCCUAUUCUCAAAUGUAUGUAUAGGAGAUAUCGCUAGGGAUGGGUAGCGCACUUGGUUAAGUUAAGAUAUUAAAAAGUUAAGAAGCUAAAGGUAUAGGGUUUGAAUCCUAAAAAGGGAGAAAAUACUAACAUAUCAAUUAACAUACUACAAAGACUUGAAUUCGGAUCCCACAAUUGAUGAGAGAAUCUCAUUGAUGAGUAAUAUGUAAGUAACUAACCUCACGGUCCUAAUGAGCCGCUAAAAUACAACUCGCUUAAAAGUUAUGAUUUGACAUGUUUUAAAACUCGAGGAACCAUGUUGAUGGGAACAGAUGAGACUGGAUUUCCAUCGAGUCUGACUCAGCUACUCUUGUGCAAGCUCUAUUGUCUCGGAGCCAUGGUGAUUCGGAUUUCUAUGCUAUUGUUUCUAGUAUUAUUUAUCAGUUAUCUUUACAUUCUAACUUCGAGGUGAAGUUUGUUAGGAGACAAGCGAACAUGGUUGCUCAUACUUUAGCUAGGGCAACCUGUUCUUGGGCUAAUCACCAUAUUUUUUAUUCUUAUCCUACUUGUAUUGAACAUUUGUUGGUUAAUAAUAAUAGUUAACUUUAUUUUGGUAAAAAAAAUAAAAAAUAAACUCGAGGGACCAAAAAUGUGUAUUUUAAAUUGGGAGGACCAACAAUAGUAUAGAUGACAUCUACUAAUAUGGUGUGACACCAGGGGUACAUCUUUAACUAUUUGGUUAGGGUUCAAUUCCUGGUCGAACUUUAUUCUCUUUAGUGAAACACAAGUAGAAAAAAAUCAAUACAAAGUAAUUGUUUUCAGCCCAUAAUUAUCCUGCAUGUAUCUUUCACAAUUUGUUUUUUGACAACAACCAAUCUUUGAUCAAAAUGGUUUCUCUUCAUUUCUAACAAAAAAGUGACCAGAACUACCAUCAGAUAGCAAUGCCAACCUCAGAAUUGAUUCAGCACCUUCAUCAGGUGUUAGAUAACCUGUAUUGUAAAUAAUAUCUGUUUUCACAAAGCCAGGACAAACAACAUUGAUGCAUAUUGAUGGAUACUUUCUAGCCACAACCCUUGUAUAGGCAUUUAGAGCAACUUUUGAGAUAAUGUAAGUAGACAAAUUAUUAUCAGGCCAACCUUUGUUUUCUAGUGACCCCUCUUUAAAAUCCUUUAGAAAUUGAUUCAAAACUUCAUCAAUCUUUUCUUCUGUAAGUUCUUCAACAUCACUCAAUACUUCCUUAGGCCAUCCAUUUGGAAGUUUCUGCAAAUAAAAUUGCAUGAAAAUGAGCAUCAUCUACAAUAGCCUAAUAUAUCAAAAUAAGAGUGAAUUUAUAAAUUGAUUCUCAAAAUUAUUAGAACCGGUCAUAUAUAGUCUCUGAAUUUUACAAAUUGGUCAAAAGGAUCCUUUCGUUGAAUUGGUACUGUUAGAAGUUAUGAUGUAGUCCUUCUUGUCAUGCAUAUAAGCAACUAUUUCUUUUUUAAAUUCAUAAAAUAACUUAUAUAUAUUUAUAUAUGAUAUAUCAAUUAUUUAAUAAAUUUAAAAAAUAAUAAUGACUUAUACAUAUUACCAGAAGGAGUAACAUGUUAUAUUAACGUGUGGCCUUAGUGUGCAGAUGCCACAUAAAUGUCAUGUUACCAAAAACCUUCUAUGGCACAUUAAAUUCAUUAAUAUUAUAUCAUCUCUAGAGCUACCACCUCGGGAGCCACAAAUAAACUUGCAUCUUAUAUUUCAUAUUUUAUUGCCACUUGAGAUCUAUGUAAGAGGCCACAUGUUCAAUUAAGGUAUCACCUCAUAGGCUCAAACAAUAUAUAAAAGUUAGUAGAGGGACAUUUUGACACAUGUGCAGUUCUGUUUCUGAGAUUUUGAUGGUAUGAGGCAAAAGCACAACUUGGACGCUAUGAGCAUUUAUAAAUGCAAAGUCAAUAAUAAUUAUGUACGCAACAAUAUGUUAUAUCAUAUCUUUCUUCAACAAAAAAAAAAAGAUGUGAAGUUUUUCAAUAAUUUUAAUGAAAAACUUAUUUCUACACAUGCAACAAUCAUCGACAUAGAUCCCCGUGAGCUUUGCUUAGUUGGUAGAGAUAUUACAUUUUAUAUGCAGGGGCCGGGGUUUGAACCCCGAACACUCCACUUCUCCACAAUUAAAUAUAGGCACUAGACUAUUUGACAAAAAAAAAAAAUCAUCGACAUAGUUAAGAGAAUUUGAUAAGCAAUUGAAGCAUUUGACAAACUCAUGAAUUUCAAAUGUUGACAUCAACACAUUUAACAAAGAUAUUUGUAAUACUUUUAAUACAUAAAAAAUCAUUUGCGUCAACAUUCGACAAAUACUUAUGAAAAAACGCAGCCUCAUAAUUUGUUUAAGAUUUUUUUUAAUUCAUCAUUUCCAAUGAUUUUAAGGUUCUUGCAGCAAAUAAAAGUUCAACAAUACUUUUAAAUACUUCAAACUGCUCAAAACUAAUUUUCAAUAAAACUAUUGUCAUAUCAACAACCAUAAAAGCAAUGAUUGACUCUAAAUGAUUCCUCGGUGAUUGUAUUUGCUUAUCAUUAUCAUUAUCACCAUAUUGUCUUUUUCUAAAGCUGCAACACUUUGUCGAAAGUGUCGGCUCUACACUCAUAUCAAAUGCAAGGCUUUUGGCUACGAUCAUACUAGGUUUUAUUUCUAUAUUUUUCAAAGUAUAAGAUUAUACCUUACACUUUUUUUUUUUUUUUUUUUAAAUAUUGGGGCCCAUAUUUUAGAAUUAUUUUUUGGGAUAUAGGAUUGUUGUCCUCUUCACCCUGCCUUAGAUAUAGUCCUGCUAAUGUGUUACAUUUCUAGUUUUUAAAAAUGUAUUUGCUAAUUCUUAACGGAAAAGCUUCAUAUUUUAAUUUUCGAUAUAUUGAAUGUAUAAGUUUUUAUAAAAACUUACUAUCUAAAGUUCUUAAGGAGUGCCUUAGAACAGUCAUUGACAUUUCUUUUAAAAGUUAAAUACUAUUUUGACUAUGCUCACAAUUUGAGGAUUAAUUUGCCUAUUUAUUCUCAAAGUUAAACAACAUAUAUACCUCAAAUCAAAUCAAUGAAAUAUUUAACUUAGAAAAUUUUCAUUAGUUUAAGUGUUUCUAAAUAAUCUUCCAAAGCAGUGCCACAUACCUCCAACUUUCCCAUGGAUGCGGAAACAUUGACAACUUUUGGUGAGCUUGAAAGCUGGAGAAAUGGAAUAAGGGCUUCUGUCAAGUCCUUUGCUCCAUAGUAGUUUGUUUUAAUACCUAAUUCAGUUUGUUCAUAGGUUUGAGUUAUUAUUUUACUCCAAUCAAUCUGGCCACCAUUUUCCUGUAACCAGAAACAAGAAAACUUUAUUUCUUAUGAUUGAAUUGUGAAGGAAGACACAAAUUUCAAGGUAUGACUUGAAAUUGUUAAUAAAUUUGACUAAUAUUAACAAUCUGUUUCUUCAUACAAGAGGAAAUAAUUUUCAGUUAAUUUUCAUAUGUUUGGCAUAUAUUGACUACAAGUAAUCAUUCUUUAUAUGCUUAAUUGCAGUUUUGGCCUCCUAAAUAUCACAAUCUUGCGAUUUUUAUCCCUUAUAAAAAAAAUAUCAAAUCAGCCCAUAUAUUUACCCCAUUUUGCACUUUCGGUCCCCCAGACCAAUUUUGACCAAAUCAAUGUAUACGUGACACCCACAUCACUUAAAAUGAGGUGCCACGUGUGACUUUAUAUUUUCUUAGGGGGUCAAAAUCGUAAGAUGGUGAUAUUUAGAGACCAAAACUGUAAUUAAGUCUAAUAAAUAAAAUGAUCUGGGUGCCACGUAAGCAUUGACCUAAUUAAAAUUGGUCUGAGGGGCCUUACUUGGGGUAAACUUAGGAGUUAAUUUGUUAUUAUUUAUUAUAGGAGGACAAAAUCAUAAAACUGUAAUACUUAAGGGUCAAAACUGUAACUAAACUAUCUUUAUAUUAAUUUAACAGUCGCAAUUGGAUCACAAUUCUUGACAUGGCGAGGAAUCACAAUCAAAUGCAAUGCAGUUGAUGCAGCUUCAACCAUGAUUGCAAUGACAUCAAAAGCCAUGAUGCUGCAGUCCAUGGAUCACGAUCACUAACCUUUUUCUAUAACUUUAUAACUACACAAAAUUUCAUAUUCGGAUUGCGACAAAUCAAAUAAAGCUCAUCUCAAAGUAAAACCAUUUUUGCUUGGACUACAAACACAAUCAACCAAAACCUAAAUGAAAUUGUAUUAACAAAAGUUAUAAUAAUAACAAUUUAAAAAAAAAAAAAAAUUAAAUUAGUUCAAUUGGUGGAACAGACACCCAAAUCCAAACCAAUACCACCAAAUCAACCGAAGUUGGUUUUAAUUAUUAUUCUGAAAUUAAUGGACAUGUUAAGUACAUUUAUUAAGUAAAACAGCCUCAGCUUUUGGGGGAAAGUAAUCAUACCACAAUUUUAGCAGCAGCAAGAGCUUCACCGUCUACUUGUGCUCCAGGAAUCCCAGCAUUGUUUACCUAAACAAAGUGUUUCAAAUAUUUGUAGUCAUUCAAGAUGAACUAGAAACUAUCUCGCAUAUAUAAUAAUAACCUAUAAUUUUUCAUUUGUAAAAUAUUUUGUGUGACUGUAUCAAUGAAACUCAUGGAUAUAGCUCAUCUUAAGUGUUCAACAAAGUAAAUAUUUUUCAACCUUAAAAGAAAUUUUUUUUGAAAAAAUGACUUCAAUUUUUCAGAAACAAAGUCAAGUCAAUUCUAAUUGAGAACCUCGAAUUAGUUCAAUCUUAGAGACAAACUCAAUUAUAAUCGAGAACCUCCUAGCAUCAAAAUAAGUUUGAAGUCUUCAGAAUCACUUUUGACUCUCAAAAUUGAAUCUAAACAUGCCCUUCACUUUUUUAGCGUGUGUUUGGUUUUGGGGUGACAAAUAUUGUCUCUAAAUUUGAUUCUAGCUAGAUGUGUCUUGAAUAUAGCGUAAUUUAUGUUUAGAUACAUUAUGUGUAAAGGUGAAUUAAAUAAUAAAUUCAAACCUAAAAUAUAUUGUAGAGUCAAAAGAUGUAGAUUCUAGUUUGAAGUUAAAAUCAAUUCACAGGACAAAAUAAAUUAUAUCUUUUUGAAUAUGUCCAAACAUGUCAAAAUCAAUUCUACACCACAAACUCAAUUUUACCUCUCUAAAAACGGAAUGAAACAUACAAUAAAUUGAAUCACUAUUUUAGAUCAUGUGCAAAUUCAAAAUUCAGAUAUAUUUUGUGUACUUCUCUAGAAACACAUAAGAAACAUGAAAAUGACAAAAGACAAGAUAAAUUUGAACUUUCUUACCAAGAUAUCUAGUUUACCAAAUUGAUUCUUGAUAAAAUCUACAAAUGAUCUUAUACUUGCAUGAUCUAUGACAUCAAGUUGUUGGAAAACAACAAGACCAGGCAAAGAAAGCUGUUUCAAUUUCUCAACAGCUUCAAGACCUCUCUUUUCAUCUCUUGCAGUAAGCACCACAGUGAUCCCUUUAGAAGCCAAUUGAUUGCAUACUGCAAAUCCUAUUCCUUUGUUUGCUCCUGUAACAACUGCAUAUCUAGAAACAAGAUUAACAAGGUUGUAUUAUGUGUCAUUGUCAUGAAGCUUUUGGUUAACUGUGUGUGUCUAUAUAUAUAUAUAUAUAUUGAAGGUGUGUUUAAAAAAAAAAAAAUGUAAGGUAUAUUGAAGAAACAAAAGGGUAAGAAAAAUUAGAUUCUACAUUGUUGUUGCUUCUGCCAUUGAUAUGGUAAGAGUGAGGUGCUAGCAAAUAUGUGUUGACCAAAAUGAAGAUUAUAAAUUAAAAUGGGUUUGUAGUUAUAUGUUUAUAACUUUCUAUUAAUUAUCUUUAAAUAUUAGUUCCAACAACUAUUUUACCAGCCAAAGAAAAUAUUCUUUAUUUUAUGAUAAAAAGAGUAAGUGAAUCCCCGUGAGCUUAGCUCAGUUGGUAGGGAUAUUGCAUAUUAUAUGCAGGAGCUGGGGUUCGAACCCCGGACACUCCACUUCUCCACAAUUAAAUUGUGUGAGCUCUAACCACUAGGCUACUUGACCAAAAAAAAAAAAAAAAGAGUAAGUGAAUUGAAAGCCGGACCUCAAAGUUAAAGAGUCUUUAUAGAGGUACACUUACAAAUCAGCUAUCAUAGAGGUGAGAGAGUUAACUUGUUACCAACUGAGUCAAAAAUAAUCGACAUAAUUUUUCGUUUUUCGUAUAAGCAAUAAAUUUUUGUUUUAAUAAUGUUUUUUUUUUUAUGAAGUUUUGUGGGAAUUACGUUUUAAUAGGAAUCUUUUUAUUGCGCUAGCGCGUGUAGAUUAUCAACGAAAUAUUAUAGAAAUUUUGCGUGUAAAUUGCAAACGAUAUUUUAUAUAACUCUUUUAUAUAAAUUAAAAUGAUAAGUAUAGAUAUUUGUGACUUUCAAAUGUAUCAAACUCAACAAAUCAUAUUUAUCUUUUUCAAUGACAACAAUAAUAUAACAAAUAUAAUAAAAAAUUCUUAUAUUUUUUAAUCACAACAACAAUAUAACAUUAUUAUAGAAAAAUUUAUGUAAGAGUAUAAUUGAAAUAACAAAAAAGUUUGCCCAAAAUCCAGAUUUAGUGUAGUAGUUAUUAUUUAUUUCCUCAAUAAUAAUUUAUAUGAUUUUGGAUUAGUAAUGCCACAUGUAUAAACUGCAACUGUUCAAGCGCAAUAUUGAUGAUUCCUUUUCGCAAUCUAUGAAUUUUAUAAGCAUUGGUAUAUGUGUGUCUGAUGAUGAUGAAGUUUUUCUUCUAGCCAAAACCAUAAAUUUAUCUCCUUGAGUUCUGCUCCAGUUGGCGAAGCUUUAGGUUUGUUUAAUGAUGUAGAAUGAUUAAGUGCAUGAAGAUGGAUAUUGUCAACUUUGUUGUGGAUUCUAAAACAAUCAACGACAUUUUUUACUCCAACAAACCUUAUGUUUCAAAAUUUGGUCAUAUCAUAUCAUGGUGCCAGAGACUUUCACAUUUUUUUUAGAGAGUGAUAAAUUAAUACUUAUGAUUAAUAUAUUUUUAAGUUUAAGAAUAUUAUAACAACAUAUAUUAAAAAAAAAUCAAUACAAAGUAAUUGUUUUCAGCCAAUAAUUAUCUAUCUUUCACAUUGUUUUCUUACAACAAAUAUUAAUCCUUGCUCAAAAUGGUUUCUCCUCAUUUCUAACAAAAAAGUGACCAGAACUACCAUCAGAUAGCAAUGCCAACCUCAGAAUUGAUUCAGCACCUUCAUCAGGUGUUAGAUAACCUGUAUUGUAAUUUAUAUCUGUUUUCACAAAGCCAGGACAAACAGCAUUGAUGCAUAUUGAUGGAUACUUCUUGGCUGCAACUCUUGUAUAGGCACUUAGAGAAGCUUUUGAGAUAAUGUAUGUAGACAUGCUAUUAAUAGGCCAACCUUUAUUUUCUACUAGUGAUCCCUCUUUAAAAUCCUUUAGAAAUUGAUUCAAAACUUCAUCAAUCUUUUCUUCUGUAAGGUUUUCAAUAUCACUCAGUACCUCCUUAGGCCAUCCAUUAGGAAGUUUCUGCAAAUAAAAUUGCAUGAAAAUGAGUAUUAUCCUCCAAUUGCAUAAUAGUUCAAAGUGAAAUAACAUAUAGCACUUUAAAUCCAAUGAAUGAAGCAUUAAUACAUUUUAAGUAGUUUCGAGUUCAAACCCUCGGCUCGGUUAGUGAGCUAAAGGACAACAAAGAAUUUUUAAAAAGGUUGUCGAGAGUUCAAACCCUGAAAAUUUACAUAACCACUAACUUACUAACAUUUGUCUAUAAAAAAAAAAACUAACGAACAAUUUGAUUUAGAUAUUUUCAUUAGAUAAGUUUCUAAAUAAGUUUCCCUAAAAAAAAAUCUAAAUAAGUUACCAAAGAAAGUAGCAGAAGUUAUUAGUAUCAUAUACCUCCAACUUUCCCAUGGAUGAGGAAACAUUGACAACUUUUGGUGAGCUUGAAAGCUGGAGAAGGGGAAUAAGUGCUUCAGUUAAGUCCUUGGCUCCAUAAUAGUUUGUUUUAAUACCUAAUUCAGUUUCUUCAUAUGUUUGAGUUAUUAUUUUACUCCAAUCAAUCUGGCCACCAUUUUCCUACAACCAAAAACAAGAAAACUUUAUUUCUUAAGCAUGACUUGCAAUUGUUAAUAAAUUUAACUAAUGUUAACAAUCUCUAUAUCGAAUGAAGUAAUAACCAAGGUUUUAAGUCGCUUUAACAGUCGCGGUAGGAUCACAAUGGUUGAUGUUGCGGAGAAUCACAAUCAUUUUGAACUUAAUGGAUUAGCAUGUUUAAGUAAAUCUCAUUAAUUUAAGUUAAACUGCCUCGGCUUUCCGGGGAAAGAAAUCAUACCGCAGUAUUAGCAGCAGCCAGAGCCUCACCGUCGACUUGUGCUCCAGGAAUUCCAGCAUUGUUUACCUAAGAAAAGUUUGGAGUUUCAAAUAUUUGUGAUCAUUCAAGAUGAAUUGAAAACUAUUUCACACACAGACAGAACCAUAUAAUAAUAGCUUAUAAUUUUUCAACUGUAAAAUAUUUUAUUUGACAAGGUAUAUCAAUGAAACUCAAUGGAUAUAGCUCAUCUAAAAUUAUCAGUAAAGUAAACAAUUUCAACCUUUAAUGAAAAAAAAAUGCACUCGAAUAUCAACGGUUGAUUCUGUUGUUACUUGUUAUGAUUUGUGUUUGCAAACGUUCACUGAAAAGUGAGUCAAGCUACAAGCCUACAAAUACUAAGUUUUACAUUAAAAUCAAUUUUAAAGACAAAAUUAAUUCUAAUGAUGAACUUCAAACAUACCACCAAAAACAAUUUUAAAAAUCUUUAUAAUCACUUUUGCCUCUCAAAAUUGAAUCCAAACAAGCACUAAAUUAAAUCACUCAUAUUAGAUCAACCAAAUCCAAAAUUCAGAUAUACUCUCUAUCUACUUAUACAAACUUUGAUAUAAAUUUGAAUUCUCUUACCAAAAGAUCUAGAUUACCAAAUUGAUUCUUGAUAAAAUCUACAAAUGAUCUUAUACUUGCAUGAUCUAUGACAUCAAGUUGAUGAAAAACAACAAGACCAGGCAAAGAAAGCUGUUUCAAUUUCUCAACAGCUUCAAGACCUCUCUUUUCAUCUCUUGCAGUAAGCACCACAGUGAUCCCUUUAGAAGCCAAUUGCUUGCAUACUGCAAAUCCUAUUCCUUUGUUUGCUCCUGUAACAACUGCAUAUCUAGAAACAAGAUUAUUAUGAGUUAUUAUGAUUAAGCUUAUGUUAAUUUAAUGGCAUAUAUAUGUAGGGUAUUUUGAAGAAUAAAAGGAUUUACCUUUUUGUUGCUUCUGCCAUUGAUAUGAAUAAAGAAAAGUGCUAGCAAGUAUGAGUGGACUAAAAUAAAAUAAAAAUGGGGUUGUGGUUGUGUUUAUAUAUAAUAAUAACUUUAUACUAUCAAGAGUUUCAAGUAAAAGUUGAUACUUGAUAGUAGAGUAGUGAUAUUUGAAAAACCAUUUCAUACAAUUUUUGGUAACAACUUCCUUUUUCUCUCUUUUGAUUGGUUAAAAAUAAUGGAGAGAGAAAAAGGAAGAGAGAGAAUAAGAGGAUAAUGUGAGUAUGAGAGAGAAAGUUGUCAAAAAGUUGUCACAAAGUGGACGUACAUAUAUCAUUUCUCUUGAUAGUAAAUGCAAUGUCAAAGUUAAUGUUCUAAUCAUUGUUGUCAAAAUUCUGACUUAAAUCCUAAAAUUCAGGAUUUUGCAACUUUCUUCACUUUCAACGACUCAAAUCUAUAGUAGAAUCCUAAAAUAGGAAAAAUUCAUCGAUUUUGAUUGCGAUUUUACGAUUUCUUAUAAACUAAGUAAUUUAUGACUAUAUACCAUUUAUAACAUAUAUUUAGUAUUAUUAUUUUUUGGUAAAAUCCAUCGAUUUUGAAUGCGAUUUUACAAUUUUCUAUAUCGAUUCUAUAAAAGUUCUUAGGUAAAAUCCUUCGAUUUUGAUUGCGAUUUUACGAGUUCCGAUUUUACUAUUCCCUUUUGACCUGAAGUAAAAUCCCGAUUUUGACAACCUUGGUUCCAAUAAUGUUUCUUUUUGUUUUCAACUUAUCAUGAACAUCAAUUGUUGUUGGACCACUCUUUGGUUGAAACAAAAACAAGUUGUCACAUUUUAUAAGUUUCUCUCCAUUGUUUUUUUAGAGGAAAAAAUUCAUCGAUCUCAUUGCAUUAGAUAAAGUGUCAAUACAAAGCGGUACUUCAAUAAACAAUUGAGAGCUAGUUUUAAUGGUAAUGUAUGUGCUUAUUCAGCGAUCCCAUUUGCUUGUCCUUUAAUAAAGUCAACCUUAGUUAGAGUCGUUAAAAGAUGUGAUGAACAACCGUCUACAGUGAUGAAUGAUGUUGUCAAACUCAUUGUUAUUACUGUUAUUAACAUUAAAUACAUCGACAACAAUCUUUGAAUCAAGAGAAAAAUUCGUGUUAACAAAACCAAAAUCAGUCACCCAUUACAAGCUUGACAAAGUCCUGACGCUUCAUCGACAUCCACUGAACACAAUGGGGAGAAUCAGGGGGUUUUUGCUAGCACAAACACAAAGCACUUUUCGGCAUCGCGAAUACACAUACUACUUAUUAUUGAUAGAAGAGAAUGAUGCAUCAACGUUACAUUUAAAUCUAUCAGAUGCACAUUGUUGUCAUCGUGCACAAUGUAUAUUGCUCAACCCUAGUAUAUUCGUAGUAGUUGUUGUUCUGAACAAUUCUUGUGCAAGUUUCUAGUGUUCUAACAUAUGCAAAACAUGUUUGAAUACUUGGUGGUCGUUUCGUCUACUUUUUUCCUUAAUUUCACAUUCCGACUAGGCAUGGCAACAAAAUCCAUGUCCACGGAUACCCGCCCAAACCAACCCCGUUUUGACUGGGUUUGAGGGGAUAUAGUUACCCACCCCGAAUCCAUACCCAAACCCUACCCAAAUAUAAGAAAAUUACCUUUUUACCCCUUUAUUACCCCUCUUAUAUAAAUAGAAACUCAAACCCUAAAAACCAUUUCACCACAUGUGUCUGUCAGACGAUGGCACUCACUCGAGUUAUCCCUCUUCUUCUUGGACAUCUCACACCAUUAUCACCAUCAUCUUCUGGUGUUUUUCUUAAUGAUUUAUGCUUAAUUUUUUUUGGAUUUUAUUUUAUUUUUUGUUAUGUUCGAUUCGGUUUGUUAUGUUCCGUUUGUUAUCUCUCUCUGUUUGUUUGUUUAUUAUUUUAUUUUUUGUUAUGUUCGAUUCGGUUUGUUAUGUUCCGUUUGUUAUCUCUCUCUGUUUGUUUGUUUAUUAUUUUAUUUUUUGUUAUGUUCGAUUCGGUUUGUUAUGUUCCGUUUGUUAUCUCUCUCUGUUUGUUUGUUUAUUAUUUUAUUUUUUGUUAUGUUCGAUUCGGUUUGUUAUGUUCCGUUUGUUAUCUCUCUCUGUUUGUUUGUUUAUUAUUUUAUUUUUUGUUAUGUUCGAUUCGGUUUGUUAUGUUCCGUUUGUUAUCUCUCUCUGUUUGUUUGUUUAUUAUUUUAUUUUUUGUUAUGUUCGAUUCGGUUUGUUAUGUUCCGUUUGUUAUCUCUCUCUGUUUGUUUGUUUAUUAUUUUAUUUUUUGUUAUGUUCGAUUCGGUUUGUUAUGUUCCGUUUGUUAUCUCUCUCUGUUUGUUUGUUUAUUAUUUUAUUUUUUGUUAUGUUCGAUUCGGUUUGUUAUGUUCCGUUUGUUAUCUCUCUCUGUUUGUUUGUUUAUUAUUUUAUUUUUUGUUAUGUUCGAUUCGGUUUGUUAUGUUCCGUUUGUUAUCUCUCUCUGUUUGUUUGUUUAUUAUUUUAUUUUUUGUUAUGUUCGAUUCGGUUUGUUAUGUUCCGUUUGUUAUCUCUCUCUGUUUGUUUGUUUAUUAUUUUAUUUUUUGUUAUGUUCGAUUCGGUUUGUUAUGUUCCGUUUGUUAUCUCUCUCUGUUUGUUUGUUUAUUAUUUUAUUUUUUGUUAUGUUCGAUUCGGUUUGUUAUGUUCCGUUUGUUAUCUCUCUCUGUUUGUUUGUUUAUUAUUUUAUUUUUUGUUAUGUUCGAUUCGGUUUGUUAUGUUCCGUUUGUUAUCUCUCUCUGUUUGUUUGUUUAUUAUUUUAUUUUUUGUUAUGUUCGAUUCGGUUUGUUAUGUUCCGUUUGUUAUCUCUCUCUGUUUGUUUGUUUAUUAUUUUAUUUUUUGUUAUGUUCGAUUCGGUUUGUUAUGUUCCGUUUGUUAUCUCUCUCUGUUUGUUUGUUUAUUAUUUUAUUUUUUGUUAUGUUCGAUUCGGUUUGUUAUGUUCCGUUUGUUAUCUCUCUCUGUUUGUUUGUUUAUUAUUUUAUUUUUUGUUAUGUUCGAUUCGGUUUGUUAUGUUCCGUUUGUUAUCUCUCUCUGUUUGUUUGUUUAUUAUUUUAUUUUUUGUUAUGUUCGAUUCGGUUUGUUAUGUUCCGUUUGUUAUCUCUCUCUGUUUGUUUGUUUAUUAUUUUAUUUUUUGUUAUGUUCGAUUCGGUUUGUUAUGUUCCGUUUGUUAUCUCUCUCUGUUUGUUUGUUUAUUAUUUUAUUUUUUGUUAUGUUCGAUUCGGUUUGUUAUGUUCCGUUUGUUAUCUCUCUCUGUUUGUUUGUUUAUUAUUUUAUUUUUUGUUAUGUUCGAUUCGGUUUGUUAUGUUCCGUUUGUUAUCUCUCUCUGUUUGUUUGUUUAUUAUUUUAUUUUUUGUUAUGUUCGAUUCGGUUUGUUAUGUUCCGUUUGUUAUCUCUCUCUGUUUGUUUGUUUAUUAUUUUAUUUUUUGUUAUGUUCGAUUCGGUUUGUUAUGUUCCGUUUGUUAUCUCUCUCUGUUUGUUUGUUUAUUAUUUUAUUUUUUGUUAUGUUCGAUUCGGUUUGUUAUGUUCCGUUUGUUAUCUCUCUCUGUUUGUUUGUUUAUUAUUUUAUUUUUUGUUAUGUUCGAUUCGGUUUGUUAUGUUCCGUUUGUUAUCUCUCUCUGUUUGUUUGUUUAUUAUUUUAUUUUUUGUUAUGUUCGAUUCGGUUUGUUAUGUUCCGUUUGUUAUCUCUCUCUGUUUGUUUGUUUAUUAUUUUAUUUUUUGUUAUGUUCGAUUCGGUUUGUUAUGUUCCGUUUGUUAUCUCUCUCUGUUUGUUUGUUUAUUAUUUUAUUUUUUGUUAUGUUCGAUUCGGUUUGUUAUGUUCCGUUUGUUAUCUCUCUCUGUUUGUUUGUUUAUUAUUUUAUUUUUUGUUAUGUUCGAUUCGGUUUGUUAUGUUCCGUUUGUUAUCUCUCUCUGUUUGUUUGUUUAUUAUUUUAUUUUUUGUUAUGUUCGAUUCGGUUUGUUAUGUUCCGUUUGUUAUCUCUCUCUGUUUGUUUGUUUAUUAUUUUAUUUUUUGUUAUGUUCGAUUCGGUUUGUUAUGUUCCGUUUGUUAUCUCUCUCUGUUUGUUUGUUUAUUAUUUUAUUUUUUGUUAUGUUCGAUUCGGUUUGUUAUGUUCCGUUUGUUAUCUCUCUCUGUUUGUUUGUUUAUUAUUUUAUUUUUUGUUAUGUUCGAUUCGGUUUGUUAUGUUCCGUUUGUUAUCUCUCUCUGUUUGUUUGUUUAUUAUUUUAUUUUUUGUUAUGUUCGAUUCGGUUUGUUAUGUUCCGUUUGUUAUCUCUCUCUGUUUGUUUGUUUAUUAUUUUAUUUUUUGUUAUGUUCGAUUCGGUUUGUUAUGUUCCGUUUGUUAUCUCUCUCUGUUUGUUUGUUUAUUAUUUUAUUUUUUGUUAUGUUCGAUUCGGUUUGUUAUGUUCCGUUUGUUAUCUCUCUCUGUUUGUUUGUUUAUUAUUUUAUUUUUUGUUAUGUUCGAUUCGGUUUGUUAUGUUCCGUUUGUUAUCUCUCUCUGUUUGUUUGUUUAUUAUUUUAUUUUUUGUUAUGUUCGAUUCGGUUUGUUAUGUUCCGUUUGUUAUCUCUCUCUGUUUGUUUGUUUAUUAUUUUAUUUUUUGUUAUGUUCGAUUCGGUUUGUUAUGUUCCGUUUGUUAUCUCUCUCUGUUUGUUUGUUUAUUAUUUUAUUUUUUGUUAUGUUCGAUUCGGUUUGUUAUGUUCCGUUUGUUAUCUCUCUCUGUUUGUUUGUUUAUUAUUUUAUUUUUUGUUAUGUUCGAUUCGGUUUGUUAUGUUCCGUUUGUUAUCUCUCUCUGUUUGUUUGUUUAUUAUUUUAUUUUUUGUUAUGUUCGAUUCGGUUUGUUAUGUUCCGUUUGUUAUCUCUCUCUGUUUGUUUGUUUAUUAUUUUAUUUUUUGUUAUGUUCGAUUCGGUUUGUUAUGUUCCGUUUGUUAUCUCUCUCUGUUUGUUUGUUUAUUAUUUUAUUUUUUGUUAUGUUCGAUUCGGUUUGUUAUGUUCCGUUUGUUAUCUCUCUCUGUUUGUUUGUUUAUUAUUUUAUUUUUUGUUAUGUUCGAUUCGGUUUGUUAUGUUCCGUUUGUUAUCUCUCUCUGUUUGUUUGUUUAUUAUUUUAUUUUUUGUUAUGUUCGAUUCGGUUUGUUAUGUUCCGUUUGUUAUCUCUCUCUGUUUGUUUGUUUAUUAUUUUAUUUUUUGUUAUGUUCGAUUCGGUUUGUUAUGUUCCGUUUGUUAUCUCUCUCUGUUUGUUUGUUUAUUAUUUUAUUUUUUGUUAUGUUCGAUUCGGUUUGUUAUGUUCCGUUUGUUAUCUCUCUCUGUUUGUUUGUUUAUUAUUUUAUUUUUUGUUAUGUUCGAUUCGGUUUGUUAUGUUCCGUUUGUUAUCUCUCUCUGUUUGUUUGUUUAUUAUUUUAUUUUUUGUUAUGUUCGAUUCGGUUUGUUAUGUUCCGUUUGUUAUCUCUCUCUGUUUGUUUGUUUAUUAUUUUAUUUUUUGUUAUGUUCGAUUCGGUUUGUUAUGUUCCGUUUGUUAUCUCUCUCUGUUUGUUUGUUUAUUAUUUUAUUUUUUGUUAUGUUCGAUUCGGUUUGUUAUGUUCCGUUUGUUAUCUCUCUCUGUUUGUUUGUUUAUUAUUUUAUUUUUUGUUAUGUUCGAUUCGGUUUGUUAUGUUCCGUUUGUUAUCUCUCUCUGUUUGUUUGUUUAUUAUUUUAUUUUUUGUUAUGUUCGAUUCGGUUUGUUAUGUUCCGUUUGUUAUCUCUCUCUGUUUGUUUGUUUAUUAUUUUAUUUUUUGUUAUGUUCGAUUCGGUUUGUUAUGUUCCGUUUGUUAUCUCUCUCUGUUUGUUUGUUUAUUAUUUUAUUUUUUGUUAUGUUCGAUUCGGUUUGUUAUGUUCCGUUUGUUAUCUCUCUCUGUUUGUUUGUUUAUUAUUUUAUUUUUUGUUAUGUUCGAUUCGGUUUGUUAUGUUCCGUUUGUUAUCUCUCUCUGUUUGUUUGUUUAUUAUUUUAUUUUUUGUUAUGUUCGAUUCGGUUUGUUAUGUUCCGUUUGUUAUCUCUCUCUGUUUGUUUGUUUAUUAUUUUAUUUUUUGUUAUGUUCGAUUCGGUUUGUUAUGUUCCGUUUGUUAUCUCUCUCUGUUUGUUUGUUUAUUAUUUUAUUUUUUGUUAUGUUCGAUUCGGUUUGUUAUGUUCCGUUUGUUAUCUCUCUCUGUUUGUUUGUUUAUUAUUUUAUUUUUUGUUAUGUUCGAUUCGGUUUGUUAUGUUCCGUUUGUUAUCUCUCUCUGUUUGUUUGUUUAUUAUUUUAUUUUUUGUUAUGUUCGAUUCGGUUUGUUAUGUUCCGUUUGUUAUCUCUCUCUGUUUGUUUGUUUAUUAUUUUAUUUUUUGUUAUGUUCGAUUCGGUUUGUUAUGUUCCGUUUGUUAUCUCUCUCUGUUUGUUUGUUUAUUAUUUUAUUUUUUGUUAUGUUCGAUUCGGUUUGUUAUGUUCCGUUUGUUAUCUCUCUCUGUUUGUUUGUUUAUUAUUUUAUUUUUUGUUAUGUUCGAUUCGGUUUGUUAUGUUCCGUUUGUUAUCUCUCUCUGUUUGUUUGUUUAUUAUUUUAUUUUUUGUUAUGUUCGAUUCGGUUUGUUAUGUUCCGUUUGUUAUCUCUCUCUGUUUGUUUGUUUAUUAUUUUAUUUUUUGUUAUGUUCGAUUCGGUUUGUUAUGUUCCGUUUGUUAUCUCUCUCUGUUUGUUUGUUUAUUAUUUUAUUUUUUGUUAUGUUCGAUUCGGUUUGUUAUGUUCCGUUUGUUAUCUCUCUCUGUUUGUUUGUUUAUUAUUUUAUUUUUUGUUAUGUUCGAUUCGGUUUGUUAUGUUCCGUUUGUUAUCUCUCUCUGUUUGUUUGUUUAUUAUUUUAUUUUUUGUUAUGUUCGAUUCGGUUUGUUAUGUUCCGUUUGUUAUCUCUCUCUGUUUGUUUGUUUAUUAUUUUAUUUUUUGUUAUGUUCGAUUCGGUUUGUUAUGUUCCGUUUGUUAUCUCUCUCUGUUUGUUUGUUUAUUAUUUUAUUUUUUGUUAUGUUCGAUUCGGUUUGUUAUGUUCCGUUUGUUAUCUCUCUCUGUUUGUUUGUUUAUUAUUUUAUUUUUUGUUAUGUUCGAUUCGGUUUGUUAUGUUCCGUUUGUUAUCUCUCUCUGUUUGUUUGUUUAUUAUUUUAUUUUUUGUUAUGUUCGAUUCGGUUUGUUAUGUUCCGUUUGUUAUCUCUCUCUGUUUGUUUGUUUAUUAUUUUAUUUUUUGUUAUGUUCGAUUCGGUUUGUUAUGUUCCGUUUGUUAUCUCUCUCUGUUUGUUUGUUUAUUAUUUUAUUUUUUGUUAUGUUCGAUUCGGUUUGUUAUGUUCCGUUUGUUAUCUCUCUCUGUUUGUUUGUUUAUUAUUUUAUUUUUUGUUAUGUUCGAUUCGGUUUGUUAUGUUCCGUUUGUUAUCUCUCUCUGUUUGUUUGUUUAUUAUUUUAUUUUUUGUUAUGUUCGAUUCGGUUUGUUAUGUUCCGUUUGUUAUCUCUCUCUGUUUGUUUGUUUAUUAUUUUAUUUUUUGUUAUGUUCGAUUCGGUUUGUUAUGUUCCGUUUGUUAUCUCUCUCUGUUUGUUUGUUUAUUAUUUUAUUUUUUGUUAUGUUCGAUUCGGUUUGUUAUGUUCCGUUUGUUAUCUCUCUCUGUUUGUUUGUUUAUUAUUUUAUUUUUUGUUAUGUUCGAUUCGGUUUGUUAUGUUCCGUUUGUUAUCUCUCUCUGUUUGUUUGUUUAUUAUUUUAUUUUUUGUUAUGUUCGAUUCGGUUUGUUAUGUUCCGUUUGUUAUCUCUCUCUGUUUGUUUGUUUAUUAUUUUAUUUUUUGUUAUGUUCGAUUCGGUUUGUUAUGUUCCGUUUGUUAUCUCUCUCUGUUUGUUUGUUUAUUAUUUUAUUUUUUGUUAUGUUCGAUUCGGUUUGUUAUGUUCCGUUUGUUAUCUCUCUCUGUUUGUUUGUUUAUUAUUUUAUUUUUUGUUAUGUUCGAUUCGGUUUGUUAUGUUCCGUUUGUUAUCUCUCUCUGUUUGUUUGUUUAUUAUUUUAUUUUUUGUUAUGUUCGAUUCGGUUUGUUAUGUUCCGUUUGUUAUCUCUCUCUGUUUGUUUGUUUAUUAUUUUAUUUUUUGUUAUGUUCGAUUCGGUUUGUUAUGUUCCGUUUGUUAUCUCUCUCUGUUUGUUUGUUUAUUAUUUUAUUUUUUGUUAUGUUCGAUUCGGUUUGUUAUGUUCCGUUUGUUAUCUCUCUCUGUUUGUUUGUUUAUUAUUUUAUUUUUUGUUAUGUUCGAUUCGGUUUGUUAUGUUCCGUUUGUUAUCUCUCUCUGUUUGUUUGUUUAUUAUUUUAUUUUUUGUUAUGUUCGAUUCGGUUUGUUAUGUUCCGUUUGUUAUCUCUCUCUGUUUGUUUGUUUAUUAUUUUAUUUUUUGUUAUGUUCGAUUCGGUUUGUUAUGUUCCGUUUGUUAUCUCUCUCUGUUUGUUUGUUUAUUAUUUUAUUUUUUGUUAUGUUCGAUUCGGUUUGUUAUGUUCCGUUUGUUAUCUCUCUCUGUUUGUUUGUUUAUUAUUUUAUUUUUUGUUAUGUUCGAUUCGGUUUGUUAUGUUCCGUUUGUUAUCUCUCUCUGUUUGUUUGUUUAUUAUUUUAUUUUUUGUUAUGUUCGAUUCGGUUUGUUAUGUUCCGUUUGUUAUCUCUCUCUGUUUGUUUGUUUAUUAUUUUAUUUUUUGUUAUGUUCGAUUCGGUUUGUUAUGUUCCGUUUGUUAUCUCUCUCUGUUUGUUUGUUUAUUAUUUUAUUUUUUGUUAUGUUCGAUUCGGUUUGUUAUGUUCCGUUUGUUAUCUCUCUCUGUUUGUUUGUUUAUUAUUUUAUUUUUUGUUAUGUUCGAUUCGGUUUGUUAUGUUCCGUUUGUUAUCUCUCUCUGUUUGUUUGUUUAUUAUUUUAUUUUUUGUUAUGUUCGAUUCGGUUUGUUAUGUUCCGUUUGUUAUCUCUCUCUGUUUGUUUGUUUAUUAUUUUAUUUUUUGUUAUGUUCGAUUCGGUUUGUUAUGUUCCGUUUGUUAUCUCUCUCUGUUUGUUUGUUUAUUAUUUUAUUUUUUGUUAUGUUCGAUUCGGUUUGUUAUGUUCCGUUUGUUAUCUCUCUCUGUUUGUUUGUUUAUUAUUUUAUUUUUUGUUAUGUUCGAUUCGGUUUGUUAUGUUCCGUUUGUUAUCUCUCUCUGUUUGUUUGUUUAUUAUUUUAUUUUUUGUUAUGUUCGAUUCGGUUUGUUAUGUUCCGUUUGUUAUCUCUCUCUGUUUGUUUGUUUAUUAUUUUAUUUUUUGUUAUGUUCGAUUCGGUUUGUUAUGUUCCGUUUGUUAUCUCUCUCUGUUUGUUUGUUUAUUAUUUUAUUUUUUGUUAUGUUCGAUUCGGUUUGUUAUGUUCCGUUUGUUAUCUCUCUCUGUUUGUUUGUUUAUUAUUUUAUUUUUUGUUAUGUUCGAUUCGGUUUGUUAUGUUCCGUUUGUUAUCUCUCUCUGUUUGUUUGUUUAUUAUUUUAUUUUUUGUUAUGUUCGAUUCGGUUUGUUAUGUUCCGUUUGUUAUCUCUCUCUGUUUGUUUGUUUAUUAUUUUAUUUUUUGUUAUGUUCGAUUCGGUUUGUUAUGUUCCGUUUGUUAUCUCUCUCUGUUUGUUUGUUUAUUAUUUUAUUUUUUGUUAUGUUCGAUUCGGUUUGUUAUGUUCCGUUUGUUAUCUCUCUCUGUUUGUUUGUUUAUUAUUUUAUUUUUUGUUAUGUUCGAUUCGGUUUGUUAUGUUCCGUUUGUUAUCUCUCUCUGUUUGUUUGUUUAUUAUUUUAUUUUUUGUUAUGUUCGAUUCGGUUUGUUAUGUUCCGUUUGUUAUCUCUCUCUGUUUGUUUGUUUAUUAUUUUAUUUUUUGUUAUGUUCGAUUCGGUUUGUUAUGUUCCGUUUGUUAUCUCUCUCUGUUUGUUUGUUUAUUAUUUUAUUUUUUGUUAUGUUCGAUUCGGUUUGUUAUGUUCCGUUUGUUAUCUCUCUCUGUUUGUUUGUUUAUUAUUUUAUUUUUUGUUAUGUUCGAUUCGGUUUGUUAUGUUCCGUUUGUUAUCUCUCUCUGUUUGUUUGUUUAUUAUUUUAUUUUUUGUUAUGUUCGAUUCGGUUUGUUAUGUUCCGUUUGUUAUCUCUCUCUGUUUGUUUGUUUAUUAUUUUAUUUUUUGUUAUGUUCGAUUCGGUUUGUUAUGUUCCGUUUGUUAUCUCUCUCUGUUUGUUUGUUUAUUAUUUUAUUUUUUGUUAUGUUCGAUUCGGUUUGUUAUGUUCCGUUUGUUAUCUCUCUCUGUUUGUUUGUUUAUUAUUUUAUUUUUUGUUAUGUUCGAUUCGGUUUGUUAUGUUCCGUUUGUUAUCUCUCUCUGUUUGUUUGUUUAUUAUUUUAUUUUUUGUUAUGUUCGAUUCGGUUUGUUAUGUUCCGUUUGUUAUCUCUCUCUGUUUGUUUGUUUAUUAUUUUAUUUUUUGUUAUGUUCGAUUCGGUUUGUUAUGUUCCGUUUGUUAUCUCUCUCUGUUUGUUUGUUUAUUAUUUUAUUUUUUGUUAUGUUCGAUUCGGUUUGUUAUGUUCCGUUUGUUAUCUCUCUCUGUUUGUUUGUUUAUUAUUUUAUUUUUUGUUAUGUUCGAUUCGGUUUGUUAUGUUCCGUUUGUUAUCUCUCUCUGUUUGUUUGUUUAUUAUUUUAUUUUUUGUUAUGUUCGAUUCGGUUUGUUAUGUUCCGUUUGUUAUCUCUCUCUGUUUGUUUGUUUAUUAUUUUAUUUUUUGUUAUGUUCGAUUCGGUUUGUUAUGUUCCGUUUGUUAUCUCUCUCUGUUUGUUUGUUUAUUAUUUUAUUUUUUGUUAUGUUCGAUUCGGUUUGUUAUGUUCCGUUUGUUAUCUCUCUCUGUUUGUUUGUUUAUUAUUUUAUUUUUUGUUAUGUUCGAUUCGGUUUGUUAUGUUCCGUUUGUUAUCUCUCUCUGUUUGUUUGUUUAUUAUUUUAUUUUUUGUUAUGUUCGAUUCUGUUUGCGAAGACUAUCAAUAUUUUUGUUAAUUUUAAAGUUUGGUGGAAUCAAUGGAAUGAGAUUUGUAACACGUACAAACACACGAACAACAACACAAUUGUAUUAGUGUUUAUUGGUUAAUACGACUUUUUGUGACUAAUGUUAUGUGAUGGAAAUACCGGUGCAGAAGAGAUUUAUUUAAACAGUGCUGCUAUAUAUAAGAAAAAAUCAUCUAUCAAAAAAUAAAUAAAUAAAUAAAUAAAUAAAUAUAUAUAUAUAUAUAUAUAUAUAUAUAUNUUGCAUACUGCAAAUCCUAUUCCUUUGUUUGCUCCUGUAACAACUGCAUAUCUAGAAACAAGAUUAACAAGGUUGUAUUAUGUGUCAUUGUCAUGAAGCUUUUGGUUAACUGUGUGUGUCUAUAUAUAUAUAUAUAUAUUGAAGGUGUGUUUAAAAAAAAAAAAAUGUAAGGUAUAUUGAAGAAACAAAAGGGUAAGAAAAAUUAGAUUCUACAUUGUUGUUGCUUCUGCCAUUGAUAUGGUAAGAGUGAGGUGCUAGCAAAUAUGUGUUGACCAAAAUGAAGAUUAUAAAUUAAAAUGGGUUUGUAGUUAUAUGUUUAUAACUUUCUAUUAAUUAUCUUUAAAUAUUAGUUCCAACAACUAUUUUACCAGCCAAAGAAAAUAUUCUUUAUUUUAUGAUAAAAAGAGUAAGUGAAUCCCCGUGAGCUUAGCUCAGUUGGUAGGGAUAUUGCAUAUUAUAUGCAGGAGCUGGGGUUCGAACCCCGGACACUCCACUUCUCCACAAUUAAAUUGUGUGAGCUCUAACCACUAGGCUACUUGACCAAAAAAAAAAAAAAAAGAGUAAGUGAAUUGAAAGCCGGACCUCAAAGUUAAAGAGUCUUUAUAGAGGUACACUUACAAAUCAGCUAUCAUAGAGGUGAGAGAGUUAACUUGUUACCAACUGAGUCAAAAAUAAUCGACAUAAUUUUUCGUUUUUCGUAUAAGCAAUAAAUUUUUGUUUUAAUAAUGUUUUUUUUUUUAUGAAGUUUUGUGGGAAUUACGUUUUAAUAGGAAUCUUUUUAUUGCGCUAGCGCGUGUAGAUUAUCAACGAAAUAUUAUAGAAAUUUUGCGUGUAAAUUGCAAACGAUAUUUUAUAUAACUCUUUUAUAUAAAUUAAAAUGAUAAGUAUAGAUAUUUGUGACUUUCAAAUGUAUCAAACUCAACAAAUCAUAUUUAUCUUUUUCAAUGACAACAAUAAUAUAACAAAUAUAAUAAAAAAUUCUUAUAUUUUUUAAUCACAACAACAAUAUAACAUUAUUAUAGAAAAAUUUAUGUAAGAGUAUAAUUGAAAUAACAAAAAAGUUUGCCCAAAAUCCAGAUUUAGUGUAGUAGUUAUUAUUUAUUUCCUCAAUAAUAAUUUAUAUGAUUUUGGAUUAGUAAUGCCACAUGUAUAAACUGCAACUGUUCAAGCGCAAUAUUGAUGAUUCCUUUUCGCAAUCUAUGAAUUUUAUAAGCAUUGGUAUAUGUGUGUCUGAUGAUGAUGAAGUUUUUCUUCUAGCCAAAACCAUAAAUUUAUCUCCUUGAGUUCUGCUCCAGUUGGCGAAGCUUUAGGUUUGUUUAAUGAUGUAGAAUGAUUAAGUGCAUGAAGAUGGAUAUUGUCAACUUUGUUGUGGAUUCUAAAACAAUCAACGACAUUUUUUACUCCAACAAACCUUAUGUUUCAAAAUUUGGUCAUAUCAUAUCAUGGUGCCAGAGACUUUCACAUUUUUUUUAGAGAGUGAUAAAUUAAUACUUAUGAUUAAUAUAUUUUUAAGUUUAAGAAUAUUAUAACAACAUAUAUUAAAAAAAAAUCAAUACAAAGUAAUUGUUUUCAGCCAAUAAUUAUCUAUCUUUCACAUUGUUUUCUUACAACAAAUAUUAAUCCUUGCUCAAAAUGGUUUCUCCUCAUUUCUAACAAAAAAGUGACCAGAACUACCAUCAGAUAGCAAUGCCAACCUCAGAAUUGAUUCAGCACCUUCAUCAGGUGUUAGAUAACCUGUAUUGUAAUUUAUAUCUGUUUUCACAAAGCCAGGACAAACAGCAUUGAUGCAUAUUGAUGGAUACUUCUUGGCUGCAACUCUUGUAUAGGCACUUAGAGAAGCUUUUGAGAUAAUGUAUGUAGACAUGCUAUUAAUAGGCCAACCUUUAUUUUCUACUAGUGAUCCCUCUUUAAAAUCCUUUAGAAAUUGAUUCAAAACUUCAUCAAUCUUUUCUUCUGUAAGGUUUUCAAUAUCACUCAGUACCUCCUUAGGCCAUCCAUUAGGAAGUUUCUGCAAAUAAAAUUGCAUGAAAAUGAGUAUUAUCCUCCAAUUGCAUAAUAGUUCAAAGUGAAAUAACAUAUAGCACUUUAAAUCCAAUGAAUGAAGCAUUAAUACAUUUUAAGUAGUUUCGAGUUCAAACCCUCGGCUCGGUUAGUGAGCUAAAGGACAACAAAGAAUUUUUAAAAAGGUUGUCGAGAGUUCAAACCCUGAAAAUUUACAUAACCACUAACUUACUAACAUUUGUCUAUAAAAAAAAAAACUAACGAACAAUUUGAUUUAGAUAUUUUCAUUAGAUAAGUUUCUAAAUAAGUUUCCCUAAAAAAAAAUCUAAAUAAGUUACCAAAGAAAGUAGCAGAAGUUAUUAGUAUCAUAUACCUCCAACUUUCCCAUGGAUGAGGAAACAUUGACAACUUUUGGUGAGCUUGAAAGCUGGAGAAGGGGAAUAAGUGCUUCAGUUAAGUCCUUGGCUCCAUAAUAGUUUGUUUUAAUACCUAAUUCAGUUUCUUCAUAUGUUUGAGUUAUUAUUUUACUCCAAUCAAUCUGGCCACCAUUUUCCUACAACCAAAAACAAGAAAACUUUAUUUCUUAAGCAUGACUUGCAAUUGUUAAUAAAUUUAACUAAUGUUAACAAUCUCUAUAUCGAAUGAAGUAAUAACCAAGGUUUUAAGUCGCUUUAACAGUCGCGGUAGGAUCACAAUGGUUGAUGUUGCGGAGAAUCACAAUCAUUUUGAACUUAAUGGAUUAGCAUGUUUAAGUAAAUCUCAUUAAUUUAAGUUAAACUGCCUCGGCUUUCCGGGGAAAGAAAUCAUACCGCAGUAUUAGCAGCAGCCAGAGCCUCACCGUCGACUUGUGCUCCAGGAAUUCCAGCAUUGUUUACCUAAGAAAAGUUUGGAGUUUCAAAUAUUUGUGAUCAUUCAAGAUGAAUUGAAAACUAUUUCACACACAGACAGAACCAUAUAAUAAUAGCUUAUAAUUUUUCAACUGUAAAAUAUUUUAUUUGACAAGGUAUAUCAAUGAAACUCAAUGGAUAUAGCUCAUCUAAAAUUAUCAGUAAAGUAAACAAUUUCAACCUUUAAUGAAAAAAAAAUGCACUCGAAUAUCAACGGUUGAUUCUGUUGUUACUUGUUAUGAUUUGUGUUUGCAAACGUUCACUGAAAAGUGAGUCAAGCUACAAGCCUACAAAUACUAAGUUUUACAUUAAAAUCAAUUUUAAAGACAAAAUUAAUUCUAAUGAUGAACUUCAAACAUACCACCAAAAACAAUUUUAAAAAUCUUUAUAAUCACUUUUGCCUCUCAAAAUUGAAUCCAAACAAGCACUAAAUUAAAUCACUCAUAUUAGAUCAACCAAAUCCAAAAUUCAGAUAUACUCUCUAUCUACUUAUACAAACUUUGAUAUAAAUUUGAAUUCUCUUACCAAAAGAUCUAGAUUACCAAAUUGAUUCUUGAUAAAAUCUACAAAUGAUCUUAUACUUGCAUGAUCUAUGACAUCAAGUUGAUGAAAAACAACAAGACCAGGCAAAGAAAGCUGUUUCAAUUUCUCAACAGCUUCAAGACCUCUCUUUUCAUCUCUUGCAGUAAGCACCACAGUGAUCCCUUUAGAAGCCAAUUGCUUGCAUACUGCAAAUCCUAUUCCUUUGUUUGCUCCUGUAACAACUGCAUAUCUAGAAACAAGAUUANNNNNNNNNNNNNNNNNNNNNNNNNNNNNNNNNNNNNNNNNNNNNNNNNNNNNNNNNNNNNNNNNNNNNNNNNNNNNNNNNNNNNNNNNNNNNNNNNNNNNNNNNNNNNNNNNNNNNNNNNNNNNNNNNNNNNNNNNNNNNNNNNNNNNNNNNNNNNNNNNNNNNNNNNNNNNNNNNNNNNNNNNNNNNNNNNNNNNNNNNNNNNNNNNNNNNNNNNNNNNNNNNNNNNNNNNNNNNNNNNNNNNNNNNNNNNNNNNNNNNNNNNNNNNNNNNNNNNNNNNNNNNNNNNNNNNNNNNNNNNNNNNNNNNNNNNNNNNNNNNNNNNNNNNNNNNNNNNNNNNNNNNNNNNNNNNNNNNNNNNNNNNNNNNNNNNNNNNNNNNNNNNNNNNNNNNNNNNNNNNNNNNNNNNNNNNNNNNNNNNNNNNNNNNNNNNAAUUGAUUCAGCACCUUCAUCAGGUGUUAGAUAACCUGUAUUGUAAUUUAUAUCUGUUUUCACAAAGCCAGGACAAACAGCAUUGAUGCAUAUUGAUGGAUACUUCUUGGCUGCAACUCUUGUAUAGGCACUUAGAGAAGCUUUUGAGAUAAUGUAUGUAGACAUGCUAUUAAUAGGCCAACCUUUAUUUUCUACUAGUGAUCCCUCUUUAAAAUCCUUUAGAAAUUGAUUCAAAACUUCAUCAAUCUUUUCUUCUGUAAGGUUUUCAAUAUCACUCAGUACCUCCUUAGGCCAUCCAUUAGGAAGUUUCUGCAAAUAAAAUUGCAUGAAAAUGAGUAUUAUCCUCCAAUUGCAUAAUAGUUCAAAGUGAAAUAACAUAUAGCACUUUAAAUCCAAUGAAUGAAGCAUUAAUACAUUUUAAGUAGUUUCGAGUUCAAACCCUCGGCUCGGUUAGUGAGCUAAAGGACAACAAAGAAUUUUUAAAAAGGUUGUCGAGAGUUCAAACCCUGAAAAUUUACAUAACCACUAACUUACUAACAUUUGUCUAUAAAAAAAAAAACUAACGAACAAUUUGAUUUAGAUAUUUUCAUUAGAUAAGUUUCU
This 30010-nucleotide long non-coding RNA is filed under the name Medicago truncatula (barrel medic). RNAcentral describes it as "long non-coding RNA (MTRU_LNC006018)". The record is from RNAcentral. Lineage: Eukaryota; Viridiplantae; Streptophyta; Magnoliopsida; Fabales; Fabaceae.